This is a long non-coding RNA of Cotesia glomerata, 1025 nucleotides long. RefSeq lists it as uncharacterized. Lineage: Eukaryota; Metazoa; Arthropoda; Insecta; Hymenoptera; Braconidae. The transcript has 2 exons. The record is from RefSeq and is a predicted model, not a curated record.
AAUUUAGAUUAGAAAACAAUGCUAUUAGAAUGUAGAAUAAGUACUCGUAUAAUUUGUUUUUUCUUUUAAGGUAUACUCUGAUAAUUUGAAUGCGUUUCUUAAAUCAUCAAAACAUUAUAUUAAUCAGGUUCAUAACGAUUUUUCAUUGGAGAAAUUACGAAAAGUUCCAGAAAUUGAAUACCUCAAGCAAUUUACUUUCCCUAAUGUGAUUGGCAAGAUAAUUGAUAAACUGAAAAUAAAAAAUAAAUUUAUAAAUCAUUAAUAUUUCAGAUACGUCGAAAUAGAAAUUUUAAGAAUCCAAUUUACAAAUAUUUUAAAAAUUUUAUAUGUUUUAACCCGAUCAUGAUAAUUUCUUGGAAACAAUAGUUUUCAUUUGAUUUCUUAAGCUAUUUAAAAAAAAUAUACAACAUUUUAAAAUUCAGUUUUACUUGAUAAUGAAAUUUUUAAUAAAUUGAAGUUUAUAGGCAACCAUUUGAGCGUCUGGAAAUGACUAAAGAAGAUUUUUUGAAGAUGUUUGAGUACAACGAGUUCAAAGUGAGAAUACUGAAAGAAAAAGUUCAGACUCCAACUACUACAGUCUACAGAUGUGGGCCGUUGAUUGAUUUGUUUCGUGGUCCUCAUUAGACACACGGCAUUCGCGACUCGAAUGGGAUUCCCUGGUGGACCAAUGCUAACGCCGAUGAUGCAUCCACGCUUCAGAUGAUCACCUCAAGCUAACGGGCCUAAUCUAUCACUGCAUUUUGUGCUUUGGGCCCAGCCCUGACUUGGUCUCAAGUGAAAAAUUUACUGACUCAAAUCAAUAAUACAAUUACAAUAAUAAUAUAAUUAUAUGUAAUAUAAUUACUAUGCAAGAGCCGCUGGUUUCAAUUUUCAAAAAACCGAAAAACGACUGUCAUGUGCAAAGUCAAAAUAUCAACGCUACUGAUCCUCAGUUAACACGAAGUUAGCAAAAGCCUUUUCUUUUUUUUUGUUUUUAAUUAAUUAAUUAUCGAAUUAAAUAUUGUUACACUAAACAGCAUCUGGAA